UACGUAGGGGCCUAGCGUUGUCCGGAAUUAUUGGGCGUAAAGAGCUCGUAGGCGGUUCGGCAAGUCGGAUGUGAAAUCUCCACGCUCAACGUGGAGGGGCCAUUCGAAACUGCCGUGACUCGAGUCCGGUAGGGGAGUGUGGAAUUCCCGGUGUAGCGGUGAAAUGCGCAGAUAUCGGGAAGAACACCCGUGGCGAAGGCGGUUCUCUGGGACGGUACUGACGCUGAGACGCGAAAGCGUGGGGAGCGAACAGG
This 254-nucleotide ribosomal RNA is filed under the name uncultured bacterium. Its description in RNAcentral is "partial 16S ribosomal RNA". It matches the Rfam family "Bacterial small subunit ribosomal RNA", at positions 524 to 776 of the family's 1533-position model. The record is from RNAcentral.